Molecule: ribosomal RNA, 391 nt
Filed under: Priestia megaterium
Lineage: Bacteria; Bacillati; Bacillota; Bacilli; Caryophanales; Bacillaceae
Description: bacterial SSU rRNA
Rfam family: Bacterial small subunit ribosomal RNA
Source: RNAcentral
UUCGGGAACCGAAGCUAAUACCGGAUAGGAUCUUCUCCUUCAUGGGAGAAGAAUGAAAGAUGGUUUCGGCUAUCACUUACAGAUGGGCCCGCGGUGCAUUAGCUAGUUGGUGAGGUAACGGCUCACCAAGGCAACGAUGCAUAGCCGACCUGAGAGGGUGAUCGGCCACACUGGGACUGAGACACGGCCCAGACUCCUACGGGAGGCAGCAGUAGGGAAUCUUCCGCAAUGGACGAAAGUCUGACGGAGCAACGCCGCGUGAGUGAUGAAGGCUUUCGGGUCGUAAAACUCUGUUGUUAGGGAAGAACAAGUACGAGAGUAACUGCUCGUACCUUGACGGUACCUAACCAGAAAGCCACGGCUAACUACGUGCCAGCAGCCGCGGUAAUAC